RNAcentral lists this ribosomal RNA (275 nucleotides) under uncultured bacterium. Its description in RNAcentral is "partial 16S ribosomal RNA". It matches the Rfam family "Bacterial small subunit ribosomal RNA", at positions 399 to 691 of the family's 1533-position model. The record is from RNAcentral.
GCGUGAGUGAAGAAGGCCUUAGGGUUGUAAAACUCUUUCAGAUGGGAAGAUAAUGACGGUACCAUCAAAAGAAGCCCCGGCUAACUCCGUGCCAGCAGCCGCGGUAAUACGGAGGGGGCUAGCGUUGUUCGGAAUUACUGGGCGUAAAGCGCGCGUAGGCGGAUAUUUAAGUUGGGGGUGAAAUCCCGAGGCUCAACCUCGGAACUGCCCUCAAAACUAUUUAUCUAGAGACCGGGAGAGGUGAGUGGAAUUCCUAGUGUAGAGGUGAAAUUCGU